GCCCGGGUGGCGGAAUGGUAGACGCGGGGGACUUAAAAUCCCUUGUCUUCGGACGUGCGGGUUCAAAUCCCGCCCCGGGCA
Molecule: transfer RNA, 81 nt
Filed under: Enhygromyxa salina
Lineage: Bacteria; Pseudomonadati; Myxococcota; Nannocystales; Nannocystaceae
Description: tRNA-Leu
Rfam family: tRNA
About the family: Transfer RNA (tRNA) molecules are approximately 80 nucleotides in length. Their secondary structure includes four short double-helical elements and three loops (D, anti-codon, and T loops).
Source: RNAcentral